This 423-nucleotide long non-coding RNA is filed under the name Physcomitrium patens. RNAcentral describes it as "long non-coding RNA (PPAT_LNC012221)". Lineage: Eukaryota; Viridiplantae; Streptophyta; Bryopsida; Funariales; Funariaceae. The record is from RNAcentral.
GAGGUUGCCCGAGGCCAUAUUAGAGAUUAGGAUUAGUUUUAUGGGGCCAUUUGAGCUUUGAAGGCUAGGAUUAGGAAGUUUAGGUUUUUGGCUAUGAUUUUGGUGCAAGUUUUAUAUGGUUUGGAGUUUAUAUGAAGGAAAUAUAGGCGCUCAAAGUUAAGGUGUUGAUUUGGGAGCUAGUGUCACUCUUUUUAGCAUAAUGCACGCGUAUGGACAAAAAUUGAGGAUCGGUGACUACGACUGGAGAAAGUACUUUUGCAGCUAUACUUUUUAUAUACUAUUUACUGGAUUCCAAGUUGAAAUGAAGGAAUUAUUAGAUUUUGUAGUCAGUGCAUGCAAUCUAAGGGUAGUAAGUAACCCGAUUUACUAAUGGUUGUGUCUUGAGCUAUAUCUUGAGCAAUUUGAUAAGGUUUUGGCUCAAAA